UGUCAGUCACAGCAGUUACCAAAAUAAAAUUGCUAACUUUGAUAUUUAGUUUUUUAUUUUAGUAAAGGAUCUUAUCUUGCAGAACCAGGUGGCACUCUUCUGAAAAUGUGGCAAAACCACAGCAAUGUUUUACUUGGCACUGCUCACCACGUUUUUAAAAGAGGAAUGAAAAAUACCCACUGUGAGCGUCUAUUUCCACUGAGGGAGAAUCAUAUCUGGAAGUUACCCAGAAUUAGGGAAUGAUGACUCGGCUGAGUGAAUACACUACCAGGAAUGAAUUGCUGCCAGAAAAACUUUUAAAAACUGUCCUUUCCAAAACUGUCACACUUUGUUAUGUCAACAUUAAACAUGAAUAGAAGCAUUUUAAUAAAGAAUUGCUAAGCUUUACAGAAUGUUGUUACAGAA
RNAcentral lists this long non-coding RNA (405 nucleotides) under Gallus gallus (chicken). Its description in RNAcentral is "lncRNA (ENSGALG00010004311.1)". The record is from RNAcentral. Lineage: Eukaryota; Metazoa; Chordata; Aves; Galliformes; Phasianidae.